This 156-nucleotide ribosomal RNA is filed under the name Cornus sessilis. RNAcentral describes it as "5.8S ribosomal RNA". It matches the Rfam family "5.8S ribosomal RNA". Rfam says of the family: 5.8S ribosomal RNA (5.8S rRNA) is a component of the large subunit of the eukaryotic ribosome. The record is from RNAcentral. Lineage: Eukaryota; Viridiplantae; Streptophyta; Magnoliopsida; Cornales; Cornaceae.
GACUUUUGACAACGGAUAUUUUGGGUCUCGCAUCGAUGAAGAACCUAGUGAAAUGCGAUACUUGGUGUGAAUUGCAAAAUCCCGUGAACCAUCGAGUYUUUGAACGCAAGUUGCGCCCGAAGCCUCAGGCCGAGGGCACCUUUGCCUGGGCGUUUU